AGCAUGAAUCAAUCCAAACAGUCUGAUGGGAUCAUCAUGAAUGUUUUCCUCUAUUGCCUGGAUUUCUGGUGAGAAACUGUUGACUGAAGUGGUCUUAGAAAUGCUGGCAUCCAUUGCGUGUAGCUGCAUAUCUUCAUCCUUGUCUGACAAAGACAAGACUUACCAGAGAUGUCAUGUAGGACAACAAAACCAUGAAAAAAAUUAUGUGCCAAAUCUCAAUUCACCUGGAAUGAAAGUACACGUACAAGAAUUUAGUCAAACUGUAACCUGAUAUAUCAUGGAACAAGUUCAGGAUUAAGAGUCAGAAGACAUGGAUUUGGUACCAAUUCUACAAUGCAUUUGCCAUGGAACAACGUGCAAAUUACUUCAAAAUUCAGAUUUCUGUUUUUCUAGAAGUAGGGAUAAUAAUGCCUAUUUCAUGGAGUAGAUGUGGAAGAUAAAUGAGAAUUUCUAUAAAAACAUUUCAUAAAAUGACAGUUUAUUAUUAUAUAUUCUAAAUACGUAUUAUAUAACAAGCCAGAAUUUAAUUGUGCUCA
Long non-coding RNA from Lemur catta (Ring-tailed lemur), 536 nucleotides. RefSeq lists it as uncharacterized. The record is from RefSeq and is a predicted model, not a curated record. Lineage: Eukaryota; Metazoa; Chordata; Mammalia; Primates; Lemuridae. The transcript is spliced from 3 exons.